This is a non-coding RNA of Cordylochernes scorpioides, 74 nucleotides long. NCBI's taxonomy places the organism in Eukaryota, Metazoa, Arthropoda, Arachnida, Pseudoscorpiones, Chernetidae. The record is from the annotation of a GenBank genome assembly.
UCCAGGGUAGCCUAGUGGUCAUGGCAUCUGCCCGGUAAGCGGAAGGUCGUGGGUUCGAUUCCCAUCCCUUGAAU